RNAcentral lists this ribosomal RNA (401 nucleotides) under uncultured bacterium. RNAcentral's name for it is "bacterial SSU rRNA". It matches the Rfam family "Bacterial small subunit ribosomal RNA", at positions 28 to 433 of the family's 1533-position model. The record is from RNAcentral.
GACGAACGCUGGCGGCGUGCCUAACACAUGCAAGUCGAACGAGGUCCAUCCUUCGGGAGAAGACCUAGUGGCGAACGGGUGAGUAACACGUGAGGAACCUGCCCCGAAGACCGGGAUAACCCUCCGAAAGGAGAGCUAAUACCGGAUACCCCCACCGAACCGCAUGGUUUGGUGAGGAAAUGGAUUCCGCUUCGGGAGGGCCUCGCGGCCUAUCAGCUAGUUGGUGGGGUAACGCCACCAAGGCAUCGACGGGUAGCUGGUCUGAGAGGACGAUCAGCCACACUGGACUGAGACACGGCCCAGACUCCUACGGGAGGCAGCAGUGGGGAAUCUUGCGCAAUGGCGAAAGCCUGACGCAGCAACGCCGCGUGGGGGAUGAAGGCUCUCGGGUUGUAAACCCC